Long non-coding RNA from Heterocephalus glaber (naked mole-rat), 8562 nucleotides. RefSeq lists it as uncharacterized. NCBI's taxonomy places the organism in Eukaryota, Metazoa, Chordata, Mammalia, Rodentia, Bathyergidae. The record is from RefSeq and is a predicted model, not a curated record.
CUGCUGGUGCCGGAGCUUCGCCUUCGUGCACCUCUCCGGUUGUCCGCCCCUGGCGGAGUCGGCGGGCAAGGCCCCUGGCAGGGCUUUGAGAAGAGAUCCAGUCCUGCGGCGCGCCGGCCUCUCAGCAGCGCGCUCCGGGGACUCCACUUUCACUUGUAUUUCUUGUUUUUACCGGGCCGGGAAGGCGCGCUUCGCAGAGCCCCAGGGCACGCGGUGCUGCAUGGGCCACGGUCCACGGAGCCACGUGGGAUUCCCUGCUGGCCCAGCCGCAUCCCGCAGCUCAGUUUCGGAGAACCGCGUGAGGGCCCGGCAGUGGGCCCCAGGAUCCUGAAGCCACCGAAUACAGGCUGAACCCCAGAGUAGGGCAUGCAGCUCCAGGCCAGAUGGCCAGCUUUGUGUUCUCCACAAAUUGAUGUGACUUGACAAGGCAGAAAAAAAUAUAUCUUUUAAUUCAUGAAAACACUCUGGAAAAGUUUCCUGGCAGUCAUGACUCAGCUAUCUUGAAGAAUGAAUAAUGAUGUUAGCUUUGUUAUUUUCUAAUGUUUUGGUCAGGAGGCCCUGGACUUCAUUUAAUAAUAAAUAUGAAUUUGUAUAAUUUUGAUAACAUUUCAGAAAAAUUUCAACACGAUACAAAACAUUUCUGAAACAUGUUGAUUGAAAUCAUUUAUAUAUGACAAAUGAGCACAUGAUUCACACAGAAGUUAGGGUUGCUUGACUAAUGAAUAAAAAAAUCUGGCAUUUGUAGAAUUUCCCAAGACUCACAAAAUGCCUAAACAAUAUAAGUAGUUUAAAAUGAUUUGCCGAUCCCUGCUAAUUCUUCUUUUUAAGUGUGCUUCACAUUUGUCAUGUGUAAAAACUAAUGUGCUGUGAUAAGAAUCUCAUUUUCAAUUUAGGGAACAAUGGGCUGGUUGGUAGAGAUCACACAUUUCAGUGAUUAGAAUAAAUCUCCAGUGUUCUAAAUUAUCAAAGAAAACCUAUUUUUAAACAAAAUAGAGAAUGGCUGUUAUGGAAAAUACGAUUAUUAUAAAGCAAAAUACUUUUAGGAACUUAAAAUAUAUGGUAAGGUAGAAAAUAUUUUUUAAAAACCUUUUAAAAACCUGCUUCAUUUCAUAAAAUUCUAAGCCGAUUUUGUUUUUAAAAUAAAUGCUAAUUUAUAUAACUACAGUUCACCAACUAUAUUUCAAAUACUUUGGAUUUGGAAAUCCAUUUAUAAGAAUGAUUUAAAAUUAUAAUUUAAAAAUAGAACUAGAUCUUUGUAAACAUCGUAGCACUCUUCAGAUAGCUACUAAAGAGAAUAACAUUUUGCAGUACCAAGGAGUGAAUGAUGGGAAGCAAAGUGUUUCAUUUGGCCACCCCCCUAGUGACAUGCAGUAAUCAGCCCUGAGGAAACUUAAAAAGGUACUGGUAAGGUCCGUAUGGAAUCUGAAAUCUGUCAGUUGUCAGUAAAUAGCUAUUUUUAAGGCCUCUAUCCGGGUGAACAUUAGAUGGCAGUGAGAAGUCUCCCCUCCCUGUGGGAGAAGCCAGCCCACCACAGCUGCACUGCCGCAUCUUGGAGGAGUCCUUGCCAUGCACCCUGCAGCCCUUGACCCAAGUUUAACCCAAGUUUAUCCCUCUGUGCCGUUGGUUCCCAGCCUGGGAAGAGUCCUGGCGUAAGGACUCUUACGCCAGAAUAUACUGCUAUCAAACCAAGGUCUUAGCAUUAAAGUUCACAGGAAUUGAAAAAUACUGAAUUUAUUUGCUCAAAUAUUUCACUUCAUUAAAAACACGAAGUUUUCAUUCAAAAAAGAAAAAUGCAAGCCACUUUUUUGUUUUAAAAAGAAUUAUCAGAAUCACCUUGCUUUUAUCAGCAUUCAAGUUGGCUCAUAUUCUGAAUGAUCUAAAGUUUUUGAAAUCUCCAAAUAGUAACUCUAUUAUGAGAUAUAGUUGCUGUUCCCCCAGUGGCUUAACAUGAUAACAUGAAACCACAUCCUUAAAAACCAAAAAUGUACUUUAACAUAGAUUUAUGCUUGAUAGGAUGGUCAAAAAAGUCCAGAUUUUUGGACUUUCUUUUUCAAACUUUGACACAAUUCAAAGGACAAGAAAAGUCUCAACACCUUGUGAUUACUAUUACUAGUUUUGUCCGUUGACCACAGUAUUCUAAAAACUACCGCUCACUCUGGAAGGCUGAGGCAGGAGGAUUACAAGUUCCAGCCUAACGUGGGCAACUUAGAGACUAUGAGACCUUGCCCCAAAAUAAAAAAUAGAAAAGGGCUGGGGAUGCAGCUCUGUGCAAAGGCCCCGGGUUCAAUUCCCAGGUCCACAAAACCAACCAACAACAGGAAGAAAAAAAACCCCAUACACAACCACUGUUCAUGGGGACAGUAUUUAUAAACAGAACCAUCUUCCUGGAGUUCCUCUACUUUUCAGUCUACCUCCUUGUAAAGAUCUAGUUUUUAUUAUUUACAAAACAGUGUUACAAAAGGUGUGCUUAAGCACUGAUGUUCAGCGUAGUGCGUGUUUUAUGUUUGUGGACAGACAUAGUUCAGCUAGAAUUCCUUGACCGAACACUGUGAGACUCAUCCCCAUGCGGCAAGAAGCUGACUUUUUUGAAAGUGGUUAAAUGGUGCCCUUGUGAUCCAGUGAAGGGAAACAAGGUGCUAUGUGGAGAGUUUCCAGGUAUCUCUGUUUUUCAGUUAAAAGCUCUUUCGUGCAUUUUGUCACUUACAAGUUGCAGGUCCAUUAUAGUUGUCUAAAAACAGCUUUUCCCUUGAAUUGCUCUGAAUUAAAAGUAGAACAACAGUUCAGGUAAACGUUUGUUUCACAAUUACAUAACUCGGCGAUGUUUGCAUAGACUCUCAGAAAGGUGCCAAUGUAUAUUUUAAUGCCUGAAGACAGGCUCUGAUGAAAUGAAAGAAUGGCCGCUGCCUACCGAGCUUGCCUCUGUACUGGACUCUGAGGAAAGGAAUCCCUAUAAAGUGCCGUCUCCUGACUAUAUUGCAAGUGGGUUUGUAAGCAUUCAGACUGAACAUGAACGAAGACUCAGAGCAACCAGUUGCCUGGUGUGGAGAAGACACAGAGCUCACCAUCACCCUAUAGAGUGAGUCUCGGUUGUCCAGAGCUCUGUACAAAUUCACUCGCAGCUGCUAGAGCCAGUCGAAUGGAAACAGCAGCUCCUCAUCUACAGACUCAGUCUGACAUGUGCUGCUAUCUACGAGGGAUGCUGGGCGUGGACGAUGCUGUGUGCCGUGCACUCUGACGCGCUUGCAGGCCGUCUCCUUGGCGCAUACGCCCUUCAGCUUUGCCCAGUCAGUUCAGAGAUUCCCAUCUGUAAUCAUCUCCACAGGCACUCCAUCUAAACUGGAAGUCUAAUCUCAUGGCUUUAAAUCGUUCUUUGCUUCUGAUUCCCCCAAACUGGAUAACUUCACUCGAUCACCCCUUGCUUUCUCUGUCCUUUUCUCCAGUUACUUUUGAGAAUUAAAAAAAAAUAUAAACUACCUUUUAAAAGAUCCCUUCCUCCCACUGAGAAUAUGUUUUUAAAAGGCCAUUUCAACAGAUUAGUGCUCUGAGUCUGGUAAGCUGUGUGGGGUGGCAGGGCAAGGCCUACCCUUCUGGGAUGCAUGGGGAGUGGCGUCACCUCUGGAACCUUUACUUUUCCUCUGUUGGGUUCCCAGUUUCCAUGGCGACAAUCUCUCUGUCCUCAAUGUCCAUCUCUAGGGUGAAGCUUGAGGCUUUCCUGUCCUUUGUCCUUGCCCCCCACCAGAUUCUGCCACUUUCUCAGGGUGUCACUUUGUCUGUCCCCAUUCCAAGCCCCACCUGUGUUAAGGGCAUUGGCCCAGGUGGCCCUGAUGACUCCUCCUGCAUCCACUUAGCUGGCUUCCUCCCUCCCUGAGAAUUCAGCACCUCUCCCUGACCUUCAGAGUGUCCCUGCCCCUUGUGUCCCUAUAUGCACUGCAGUCCUUAUCCCUGAUCGACUGCUCCAAAGUUAUUACAUGCAAAAGCCUAGCAAUAAACAAUUCACAAGUCUUCAGUUAUGCACUUGCCUGCUGCCCAACCUGCCCUGCCCUAGAUGGGAAUCAUGCCUGGACCCCCUGGCCAAGAUGUCUACAUGGCCUGCCUGGUUAGUCACUCUGAGCCAUCUCUGCUACCGGAUCAGCUGCUACAGAACCACAAGGCUUGUGUUCAAGUGACCUUUAUACUUAAUGACAGGCCCCAGUGCAUGAGAGCAGCAAUUCACGUAAAGCUUUUCUUUAUGACAUAAACACUCAGUCAUAAGAUCCAUAUUUUUGAAAAUGUUUAUGUACUUCACCUCUCAAUAAUUGAAAGAGAUGUUUUCAAAUCAUCUACUAUCAUGAUGAAUGUUUUGAUUUCUUCCUGUAAUCUUAUCAGUUUUUGCUUUAUGUACUUUAGAGUUAUUUUAAGAGAUGGGGAAGGAGGAAUCAGAUGGGAAGGAGAAAUAAAAAGAAUUAAGAUGCAUUAUAUACAUGCACCAACUCCCCACAAUGAAUGUAAAUCAUGUACUGCAGACAUUGACUAAUGAAAAAAAAUUCAAGUUCAAGGGGCUGGGGAUUUAGCUCAGUGGCACCACACCUGCCUCACAAGCGCAAGGUCCUGAGUUCGAUCCCUGGUACCGCAAAAAAAAAAAAAAUUUUUUUUUAAGUUCAAACAAAACAAGAAAAGCCAAAGAAAAGCCACACAAUGCUUCCUUCAAGUGAAGAGGUGAGGGUGCUCAAUUAAGGAGAGGGAAAAUCAUAUGUUGAGGUAACGGAGAUCUACGGUGAGCACAAGACACAGCAGAAAGUGCAGAGUGGCAUAUACCAUGUGUGGGCUUAGGGCGUGGGUGGCAUCCUCAGCAGGUCAGGGGGACAUGACCACCUCAUACACACAUAUGCAGGACUGUGCACGUGUACACACAACUCAUGAAUGCCCCACAGUGUUCCUGCACUGUGCACAACUUCACAGAAACAUGCAUCCCUGUACUUUGUUUCCUUCCCAUCUCUCAAAGGCCAGGGCUUUGUGCACUGAGAAACCAAAGGGAAAACGAAGUCUUUCAAACUGGUCAGUGCUGGAGCCACAGCAAACCCACAAGCACAUGCACCUGUGCGAACACAUGCAUGGCACACAUAUAGCCAUAGCCUCAGGGCAGCACAGGGGUGAUGUGGGCUCCCUGGUCUCCCCUGGGUCCUCCAAGCAACCUCUGAGCAGGCAUUAUUAUUUAAAUGAUAACUCAGUGGUAGUAAUCGUUUUUGAACAAGGAGAGGGCUUUGACCCUCGAUCUUUUAUGUGAUGUGUCCUGUGAACACAUUUAAAAACCUCCGGCGUCUCUCCUCACACUUGCUCAGCUGCUGCCCCUUCCUGUGCCAGAUCCUGGAGCAUGCAGUACAAAUCUGUCCCUCACUGGGGACAAGAGCACUGGGGUUUCCCAAGACAGCACAAGUGUUGCCUGAGCUGGGUGGCAUUGGUGGCCCCUUCAGCAUGGACUGGGUGACGUCGACAGGGCAAAGCCGUGCUGCCUUCAGCUUUUAUCAGUUUCAGUAUCUGUGGGUUUGGAGUUGAUACCUGUUAAACAAACACAGCAAGAGACAUAGACAGGAUGGUACAGAUGUGUGAGGCUGGCCCGGCCCAUGCUGACGCAUAGCUGGGUGGCCUCCCCACCCCGAGGCCAAGGGAGGAUGGCGGGAGGAGCCUCAGAGAAUGUGGUGGUGACCCUCAGACCUUGAGUGGCCCACAGGCCAGAAAUCCUGGAGUGGAAAUGGAGGAAAAGAGGGUCAUAGCUGCAUUAUGCGACACUUGAGAACAGAUCAGUAAGAGAGGCUCCCGAGUGCAGCCCAUCCAGGGAGAUCAGCUACACCUGGGUGGCCGGUUCUGAGACAUAUGGGUGGUGACCUGUGGCCAGUGUCUUGGCCAGCAUGAGAGGACAAUUUGGCCAGGAGUCCUAGUGUCUACAGGACUACACCUCCCAGGCUGCUGAGACUGUCGGGUAAAAAGUACUGCUUAGGUGCGGAGUUUGGGGACAACAUCUUCUGCCAUAGAUGUCAGCACAAUGGUAAGCGAAAGCAAGCUCCUGGUAAGGAACACCUGAGGCAGGGCCUUCCUGAGAAAAGCAGUCCUCUAGGUAAGGCCAAGACAUGACGAUGGAUGCAUCGGAGGUGGGAUGCUCCUGUGGACGACUCCUGUGUCUACUGCCCCAAGAUCCCCAGAGAUCCCUGGCCUCUGCCCCUGCUCGCCUUCAGGAGCUCAGACAGGGGCUUCUGCCCAGCCUGGACCCUCAGCAGUGGGUGCCGGAGUGUUGUUGCCCUCACAAAUGGCUUUUCCUUCCUCUGCAAUCUUCAUCAGAGUGCAGCAAAUACUCUGAAAGCAUCACCCCAAGGGGCGCAGGCUCCUCACAGGUCACCUCUGUCUAUGUGGGGAAGGAGGGACAGCCUCUGUCACUUCUGUCACUGUCAGCCCUGGGCUGGGGUGGCUGGCCGGUUCUUCUGUCUUCUUCCUGUUGCUACUCACAUGCCAGGGUGCCCAGGGGCAGCCCCUUGUGGGGUUGGGAGAAGGGUCAGCUCUAGUCUGCCUUUUGCCAGCUGUGGACCUGUGCCUCAGUUUCUUCAUCUGAAAAGGGGGCUUGCAGAGGACAGGAAGUGCCAGAUGGAGCACCCAGGACAGCAUAUGGCCACGGACACCCCAGAAAACAGGCUGCUACUUAUUGCUAUGGUUACCUACAUCUGCUGUGCCCCUCAUCUCAUCAUUUAGGAUCAGUGCUAAUGCUCUGAUGACGAUGGCAUCAGUCAGCAAUAAGGAGAAGUCACCAGAGCAGAAGAUGGUCCCAGCAAGGGUGCCCACCAGCCUAAGGUGGCCGGAGCCAGGGCUUCUGUGCCUCCUCAGGCAUGUGAUCCCUCCUCAGGGCCUACGGGAGGGGAAGAACAGUUGGAGAUAGACACCCACCUGACUCCCAAGUUCACGGUGGUUGACAGAGGUGAUUCCUUUGCUCGCCUGACAUAUAUGUUCCUUCUCAGCUUUGACACAUGCUGCAUACUUGCAUGUUCUGUGUGUGUAUUCAUUUGUGUGUGUGUGCAGUUGAGAACAGCUUUCACAUCAGAAGCCCUCUUGCAAUGACUGGGUUAUGACCAAGUAACCUGUGUGCAGUGCUGGGCUCCAUGCUCCCCUGCAUGCAUGGGGCUCUCCUCAAAUCCACAUGACCCCAGGAAAGGGACACUGAGGAUAGAGGUCCUGGGUGACCUGCUGGAGGCUGUGCAGGUCAAGGUCUGGGUGCCCUCCCCCGAAGAGAACUCUGACCAGUGCUCCCUGAAUUGAAGAGAACCAUGCUAAACUGAAUCCACUAUGGCUUCUCAUCAGCCCCAGCAUUCCACAUUGUCCUUCUACACACACGCACGCACGCACACACAUGCACACCCUGUGCCCUGUGCCAUACUCACGGACAGGGCUGUCACUCCACUGAGACCACUGAUGAAUGCUGCAGCCCACUCUGAACAUGUGCUCGCCAAGCACUAUCCAGGGGGGGAUCACCAACCAUCCCGGACGAGGGUGACCCUGAGAGGUAGAGGCAGAUCCCUUAUGCAAUUUUUGGAACAAAAGGAACAACAGCAGUUCCAUGCUUUUCAUUUUUAUCCUCCUCAUGGAGGAACAGACUCCUCAAUAUCUUGUCUAAUGGUGGCAGAUGUCCCUGUAGAGGUGGUGACCUAUAUCGUGCAGAGGGGACAGGAGAGGAAGAAGGACUGUGUGCAAGGCUGGUGGCAAAAGUCAUGCUGCUUGUCCCCUUAGAACAAGGUCUGGCCCCUGUAGCUGAGCUUCCAGCUGCAGAGCAAGUGGCCAGUGCACCCAGAGAUGCCCAGAGACAGAGAUGGGGAGAGAACAGUGGGUACCUGAGUGCUCUUGCCAGGCGUGGGAGUACUAAGGACCCUGUGUUUCUGAUGAAAUUGCCAUCACUGGCCAUGCUGCACAUGUGCCCGAACUUUUACAAAAUCAUAUAAGCAUCGUUGGAAGCGAUCUCUGCCUUUAUGCAUUUUAAGGCGGUUUAGUGUUCCACAUGUAAGGCCCAGUGCUGGUGGUGCCUGUGAUUGGUAAUUCUCUCUGUGGGACUUAUGGGUUCAUAAAGCAAAGAAUGUAAUCUAAUCACCCAUAGGUACAUGAUUUCUUUAUCCCUCCUAUCAGAUGUAAUGUGGGUCAUAGUCACAAUUUAAUAACGGCCCAAGUAGGGCUCAAUAAAAGUUACCAUUAAGAGCUGAAAAUGUUCUCCCAUUUAUUUCCCUGACAGAGCCUGGCUGCCACACAGGGUUUGGAUGGAGAUUAAUGUCACCUGAGAACUGAUGCCCUGCCAGGGCGAGAGAAACCAUGUCGAGCCAGGGCUCGAUGCUGAGCUCUGGCUGUACCCACAGAGGGGAGAGUCGGGGGUUCUGUUUCCCAUGUGGGGUUGCAGCUGGCAGGGAUACACUGCUCGUAGCGGAGCUGCUUGGCUGUUAUCCUGUCUGCUGGGGACAGCAGUGUGUUCUCGGUCUCCAGUGGGAGAGGACAUACAUGUCACGGGUAACUAUGAUCCUCAAUGCCACCUUCUAUGCAGCAAGUCCUAGUGGCUGUGCU